AAUCUUCCACAAUGGACGGAAGUGUGAUGGAGCAACGCCGCGUGAGAGAAGAAGGUUNNNGGAUCNUNAAGCUCUGUUGUAAGNGACNAACACGUACGGGCGUCACCGCCCGUACCUUGACGGUACCUUAUCAGAAAGCCACGGCUAACUACGUGCCAGCAGCCCCGGUAAUACGGAGGUGGCAAGCGUUGUCCGGAAUUAUUGGGCGUAAAGCGCGCGCAGGCGGUCCUUUAAGUCUGAUGUGAAAGCCCACGGCUCAACCGUGGAGGGUCAUUGGAAACUGGAGGACUUGAGUACAGAAGAGGAAAGCGGAAUUCCACGUGUAGCGGUGAAAUGCGUAGAGAUGUGGAGGAACACCAGUGGCGAAGGCGGCUUUCUGGUCUGUAACUGACGCUGAGGCGCGAAAGCGUGGGGAGCAAAC
Molecule: ribosomal RNA, 421 nt
Filed under: uncultured bacterium
Lineage: Bacteria
Description: partial 16S ribosomal RNA
Rfam family: Bacterial small subunit ribosomal RNA
Source: RNAcentral